CCUACGGGUGGCAGCAGUGAGGAAUAUUGGUCAAUGGACGAGAGUCUGAACCAGCCAAGUAGCGUGAAGGAUGACUGCCCUAUGGGUUGUAAACUUCUUUUAUAUGGGAAUAAAAUGUUCCACGUGUGGGAUUUUGUAUGUACCAUAUGAAUAAGGAUCGGCUAACUCCGUGCCAGCAGCCGCGGUAAUACGGAGGAUCCGAGCGUUAUCCGGAUUUAUUGGGUUUAAAGGGAGCGUAGGUGGAUUGUUAAGUCAGUUGUGAAAGUUUGCGGCUCAACCGUAAAAUUGCAGUUGAAACUGGCAGUCUUGAGUACAGUAGAGGUGGGCGGAAUUCGUGGUGUAGCGGUGAAAUGCUUAGAUAUCACGAAGAACUCCGAUGGCGAAGGCAGUUCACUGGACUGCAACUGACACUGAAGCUCGAAAGUGUGGGUAUCAAACAGGAUUAGAUACCCCAGUAGUC
RNAcentral lists this ribosomal RNA (460 nucleotides) under uncultured bacterium. RNAcentral's name for it is "partial 16S ribosomal RNA". It matches the Rfam family "Bacterial small subunit ribosomal RNA", at positions 338 to 795 of the family's 1533-position model. The record is from RNAcentral.